AAUAUUAUGCUACACAGAUUCAGCAACAACAAACACUCAUACAAGUAAGUUCAAAAGAUAAUAGGUUUCACUUUAAGAUAUGUAUUGAUUUAAAACGCUGAUGUGAAUGAGUUCGACAAAUUUGUAGCAACUAGCACAGGCCCAAGGGAUACACGUCCCGGUGCCCCCCCACCACCACCACCUCCCGUUCAUUAUCCUUGGUCUUCACCUCCACCUAUACCUACAUCUCCAUCUACCGAACAUCAGGUAUGCAUAUUCAUCAUCAUUUACUUGUUGUUAGUUAUAUUAUGAUGUAACUCAGCAAAUGUCAUUUGUACAUGUAUAUUAGACCCCUCCAGCUACCUUGCCGACGCAUGAACAAGAGGACGGGUUAGACUUUGUCAAAACCCUCUUCAAUAGUGGAGGUAUCGAC
RNAcentral lists this long non-coding RNA (412 nucleotides) under Zea mays. RNAcentral describes it as "long non-coding RNA (ZMAY_LNC005747)". The record is from RNAcentral. Lineage: Eukaryota; Viridiplantae; Streptophyta; Magnoliopsida; Poales; Poaceae.